CCUACGGGAGGCAGCAGUGGGGAAUAUUGCGCAAUGGGCGAAAGCCUGACGCAGCGACGCCGCGUGAGGGAUGAAGGUCUUCGGAUCAUAAACCUCUGUCAGCAGGGAAGAACGGUCACUGUGUUAAUCAGCAGUGAAUUGACGGUACCCGCAAAGGAAGCACCGGCUAACUCCGUGCCAGCAGCCGCGGUAAUACGGAGGGUGCGAGCGUUAAUCGGAAUUACUGGGCGUAAAGCGCUCGUAGGCGGUAUGUCAAGUCAAGGGUGAAAUCCCCGGGCUCAACGUGGGAACUGCCUUUGAAACUGGCAGACUGGAGUGUGUGAGAGGAUAGUGGAAUUCCAGGUGUAGGAGUGAAAUCCGUAGAUAUCUGGAGGAACAUCGUUGGCGAAGGCGACUAUCUGGCACAUAACUGACGCUGAGGAGCGAAAGCGUGGGUAGCAAACAGGAUUAGAUACCCUAGUAGUC
This 465-nucleotide ribosomal RNA is filed under the name uncultured bacterium. Its description in RNAcentral is "partial 16S ribosomal RNA". It matches the Rfam family "Bacterial small subunit ribosomal RNA", at positions 338 to 795 of the family's 1533-position model. The record is from RNAcentral.